This 128-nucleotide ribosomal RNA is filed under the name Firmicutes bacterium AF25-13AC. RNAcentral's name for it is "partial 16S ribosomal RNA". It matches the Rfam family "Bacterial small subunit ribosomal RNA", at positions 1 to 130 of the family's 1533-position model. The record is from RNAcentral. Lineage: Bacteria; Bacillati; Bacillota.
AACAUGAGAGUUCGAUCCUGGCUCAGGAUAAACGCUGGCGGCGUGCUUAACACAUGCAAGUCGAACGAAGUUUUUCUUUCGGGAGGAACUUAGUGGCGGACGGGUGAGUAACGCGUGGGUAACCUGCC